AUUACUUAUGUAAUAUAGAUCCACCGUUUCAUUUAUUAGCAGUCAUUAGACUGUAUGAUGUUAAAAAAAUUUUUUUCCAACUGAUUAGAUUUUCAUUAUCUGUUUCUUGCUGCUCACUGGACAGCACAAGAAGCAUUACUGUAGCAAGUUCUUGAGUACUUAUGUAGUCUUUCUCUCUAAGUAUCGUAUUUUUAGUUCACCUCUAGGCUAAUACUCUUUUUUUUUUUUUGAUACUGGGGAUCAAACUCAGGUCCUUGCACUUGCGAGGCAGGAGGCAGAACCACUGAGCUAAAUCCCCAUCCCCCAGGCUAAUACUCUUGAGAGUUAAGUUCUAAUCAAGUUUUAUAUAUUCAUUCCCCAAAGUGCUUAUUUCAUUCACUCAGUGGACUGUGGAAGCUAAGGACUCUGGAUAAAGAAAUGGCAGACUAACUUCCUGACCCUUAUCUCCAGGAGCUUUCAUGUCAAGUAUAUGGUAGGCGGUCCACAAAUAAUUACUGAGUGAAUUUAGACCGUGAAAAAUCCCUGAAUGGGCCAGGGAUUUAGCUCAGCGGUUCCGCUGCCUGCCUCGGAAGCUCAAGGUCCUGAGUUUGAUCCCUGGUACAAAAAAAAAAAAUCUCUGAAUGUUUAGAAAUUAAAUAACACACCUCAAAAAAUAGCCCAGGUCCAAAGAUGAAAUUACAGAAUUAGAAAAUAUUUUGAAUUUAGGAAUAAGGAAAAUGCAUGUAUUCAGGUUUGUGAAAUUCAACCAAAGGAGUGCCUAGAGGGAAAAUUGCAGCUUUAUAUGCUCAUAUUAGAAAAGAAGAAGUCUAUAAUCAAGGUCUCACCUUUUAGAAUCUAGAAAUAAAAAGCAAUUAUCCUCUCAAUGAGUUCUGUGAAAGACAAUAGAGUGGAAAUCAAUAAAAUGGGAAAUUUACAAAUGAUAGAGGAAAUAAAUUCAACAAAACAAACACAAUAGAGAAAAUCAAUUACUCGGAGAAACUGUUGAGGGAGGAUAGUCUUUUAUGAAGGUGUUUCUGGAAUGACGAUUUCACUUCGGACCACAGACAUACUCAGAAAUUAAUUUAAAAUAUAGGUCUAAAUGUAAAAGUUAAGACUCUUAAAACUUCCUAAAGAAAACAUUGGAGAAAAAACUGACCUUGGGGGAAGCAAAGAUUUUCUAGAUAGGACACAGAAAGCACUGAAAAUAUUAAAAAAUUGGACUUAAAAACUUCUGCUCUUUCAAAGACACUAUAAAAUGAGAUUACAGACUAGGAGAAAAUUUCUUUGCAGUAGUAUAUGUGAUAAAAAAAAGUCUUAUGUCUGAAACAACAAAUAACUCAACUUAAUAGAGUAGGCUUAAAAGUGAGCAAGAGACACAGACAUCAUAUAGAAGUAUAUGAGUGCUCAAUGUGAACAGAAAUGUCAUCAUUCAGAGAAAUGUAAAUUAAACUGCAAUGAGAUCCCACCAUAACCCUGUUAAAAUGGCUAACAGUGAGAUGUUUGACAAUACCAAAUAUUGGCAAGGAUGUAGAGCAAUUGGAAUUCACCUGCACUGCUUGCUAGUGGAAGCAUAAAUUGGUGCAGGCACUUUGGGCAACUAAGUUUCUUAAACAUGCAUUUAAGAGGAAUGUUAUGGCCCUGCAAGGUUUUAUACCUGAAUGUUGAUAGCAGCUUAAUUCAUCAGAGUCCAGAAUUUGAAAAAAAUCCAAACGUUCACCUACAGGUAAAUAGGUAAGUUAUGGUACAUUUAAACAAUAAAAUUAAAAAAAAGGCAGUGAACUGUUGUUUGCAACAACCUGGGUAAAUCUCAAAACCAUUACAUAUGCUGAGGUUAGGAGGCUUACUUAACAGAUGUAAGCACAUACUUAGAGAUAUAUGAACUUUUAAAAUAAGCAGGGUUUAUCUUUAGUGACAGCAGGUCAGUGAUUGCCUAGGAUCAGAUCUUUUGUUGUUUUUUGGACUGAAUGCAGAGGGACACUUUUUGGAAUAAUGGAAAAAUUUUCAAUUUUGAUGUUGUUUAUAAGAUGUACACAUCUCUCCUUGUAGUCUCUUUUUUUUCUUAUCCCUUCUUUCCUUCUCUUCUCUUCUCUCCCCUCCCUUGUUCCCCUCGUAAUUAAGGAGGGGAAAGGGGCUUGAAGGAGAGGAGGAGAAUGGGGAAAAAAGAAGCAAAAUAUAUCAUGUACAGGUACAGAUUCCCUAUGAUGAUGUUAUCAUUAUGUAUAUCUAAAAUGUACCAAUAAAAAAGG
RNAcentral lists this long non-coding RNA (2225 nucleotides) under Heterocephalus glaber (naked mole-rat). Its description in RNAcentral is "lncRNA (ENSHGLG00000032816.1)". The record is from RNAcentral. Lineage: Eukaryota; Metazoa; Chordata; Mammalia; Rodentia; Bathyergidae.